GUACAGGUGUAACAUUGUCGGUAGGGUGUGGCCGUAUGAUGGACAACAGACAACUCUCCUGCCUGCCUGAUGAAUACAGCGAUGUGAACCACAGAUGAAACAAGUUGACGAAAGCAUUUAUGGGCAAAAACCUCUAUAUGAAUGAAUGUGUUUGUGCAGUGCAACACAACACAAUGGCCACACACCAGGGUGUGGACACUUCCAUGCUCCGUAGCGCCAUCUGACGUCACUGCAACAUCGAUCACCUAUGCUCAACGCUGUGUUCAAUGGUAACGGACCGUCAGUGUGUUUUUUCCUGUAAAACCUGAAGGCAGACUACAGAAAAGCCAGUUGGCCAGGUAAAGCAGUCUAAAAGACCAUGCAGGUUCUGGAGCUUUCUGAGGGACCUUUUUGGGCUAAUGAAGCAGAUGAUGGACUUUCAGAGGAACACAGUGACGGCGUGCCCUCGGAGACCGUCUCAGCCUAACGCACCGGGUGUAGGACAGACGUGCUGUCUGGCCACACAACCAGGACAAGUCCUGGCCCACGGACCUGACGGACCUCAGCAAAACUGCCAUGCUUUAGCUCAGCCAGCCACACAGCAGAAAGAGGAGGCGCACCAGCCCAUGUGCUUAAAGCACUACUGGUCCCAGGAGAUAGCAGAGCUUCCUCGACCCAUCCAGCAUCCAGGAAGUCCCACUCCAGAGCUCCGCCCUCAUCAGUGCAACACAACACAAUGGCCAGACACCUGGGUGUGGACACUUCCAUGCUCCGUAGAGCCAUCUGGAACUAUAUUCAGGGCAAGUUUGGGAUUCGGUCCAAGGCCAGGUGAAUCAUUAAAAAAAAGAAACACACUUCCACUUGUAUGUACGGAAUACGAUACGAUGACUACGGCUACAGCAGUGGGCGGUUUAACAUACGCUUCUGGCAUGUGUGCGCUGAGAUGCUGGACCAGAGGAGGACAGACAUGCUACGGCCCCUAUUUGUCAGAAGGGAGUUGGUGA
RNAcentral lists this long non-coding RNA (983 nucleotides) under Carassius auratus (goldfish). Its description in RNAcentral is "lncRNA (ENSCARG00000067631.1)". Lineage: Eukaryota; Metazoa; Chordata; Actinopteri; Cypriniformes; Cyprinidae. The record is from RNAcentral.